Transfer RNA from Catenaria anguillulae PL171, 71 nucleotides. It matches the Rfam family "tRNA". Rfam says of the family: Transfer RNA (tRNA) molecules are approximately 80 nucleotides in length. Their secondary structure includes four short double-helical elements and three loops (D, anti-codon, and T loops). The record is from Rfam. Lineage: Eukaryota; Fungi; Blastocladiomycota; Blastocladiomycetes; Blastocladiales; Catenariaceae.
GCAUGGUUGGUUUAGUGGUAUAAUUGCCGCCUGCCACGCGGCAGACCCGGGUUCGAUUCCCGGACCAUGCA